AUUUUCGUCUAAACAAUGCUUCGUUAUUCUCUUGCAAUUCACUAAUAAGAAAUGCGCUGUGAUCGUCGGAUUUUCAACUUAAAUGGUGCAGUGGAAAAAUGUGCCGAAUAUACCAACCGAUGGGAACAAGGAAGAUCCGGAUAUUGGAUCCCAGUUUAAAGAAGAAAAGCAGGAGAAAAGUCAUUCCCCAUGGUCGUCUAGGCAUGCGAUUUCAUCUUCCGGAGUAAGUCGGACGAUCUGGAGCAAGAUCCGGAACUUGAUCCUCGGCAAAUGGUGGAUUAAAAUUCAAUUUUGAUAUUUCCCGAAUCACGAUUUGACUGCAGUAGCUCAAGAGUUGUAGGAUCCCCAAGCCGGGAGAGUACAGCAUCAUACGUGACC
Long non-coding RNA from Uranotaenia lowii, 378 nucleotides. RefSeq lists it as uncharacterized. The transcript has 3 exons. Lineage: Eukaryota; Metazoa; Arthropoda; Insecta; Diptera; Culicidae. The record is from RefSeq and is a predicted model, not a curated record.